GCAAGUCCUAAUUUUUGCAGCCAACUUCUUGGCUGUGUUCCUUGGCUGCAGAUGUGACAGUUUAUGUUACGUACACUAUAGAUUUUCAGUACAGGCAGUCAAUUUUGGAACAUAGCCCUUGUUGUACUUGACAGUCAGAAGUCCACUUGGAGAAGAAAAAAAAGAAUUCUGUAUCUUUUAUGAAUUCUGUAUCUGCAUCAAUCACAAAACGCUUAUUAAUAUAUUAUAUCCAGCUUUUUAUUAAAUUAAAAUUAUGGAUAAAAUUAUCCGCGAUGUACAAAUAAAUAAAAAACCUUUGAUUUCGCAAUCUUCAAGUAAUAGCAACCAUUCAUAUUAUAAAACACAUCAACUUGUUGCAACAAAAACAAAAAACAAUGAGGAAACAAAUGA
Acromyrmex echinatior (Panamanian leafcutter ant) is the source of this 390-nucleotide long non-coding RNA. The record is from RefSeq and is a predicted model, not a curated record. Lineage: Eukaryota; Metazoa; Arthropoda; Insecta; Hymenoptera; Formicidae.